GGUGGUUCAGAGUGCUCUGGGCGGCGCGCGGCGUGCAGGUCGCAGCUGUGGCUCGGGUGCUGGCAGGUGCUGGCGGGACUGGCGGGGAUCGCCGUGGACUGCCUCAGGGGCGCCGCCGCCCGCCGGGCCCGAGGGCCCGCCUAACCGCGCCGCCCGCGCCCGCUCCUCCUCGGCCCGCGCCCGGGGCGCGGGGGCCGCCGGCGCUGGGCACUCGGCGGCCACCGGGGAUCGGGGCUGAGCGGCCGGUUCCCGCCCCCGUGCCGCCGCCGCCGCCGCCGCCACCUCCCAGCCGACCGCCCGGCUUGGCCGCCGCCGCCCCGUCUGGCCCCCGGGUCCGCGCCGCUGGGGGCGCGGGCGGGGUCGGGGGUUGCCGGGCGCCGCCGCCCGUGCGCCUGGAGUCCACGUCUCGGGCCCGGCGGCCGGCGAGCAUGGAGGAGAAGUACCUGCCCGAGCUGAUGGCGGAGAAGGACUCCCUGGACCCCUCCUUCACGCACGCCCUGCGCCUGGUGAACCAAGAAAUAGAAAAGUUUCAAAAAGGAGAAGGCAAGGAUGAAGAAAAGUACAUCGAUGUGGUGAUUAAUAAGAACAUGAAGCUGGGACAGAAAGUGUUAAUUCCUGUAAAACAGUUCCCUAAGUUCAACUUUGUGGGGAAACUUUUGGGUCCACGUGGCAAUUCUCUGAAGCGUUUACAAGAAGAAACCUUGACAAAAAUGUCCAUCCUUGGGAAAGGUUCCAUGAGAGACAAGGCCAAGGAAGAAGAGUUGAGGAAAAGUGGAGAAGCGAAGUACUUCCAUCUCAAUGAUGAUCUCCACGUUCUCAUUGAAGUGUUUGCCCCACCUGCAGAAGCUUAUGCCAGGAUGGGACAUGCUUUGGAAGAAAUCAAAAAGUUCCUCAUCCCUGAUUAUAAUGAUGAGAUCAGGCAAGCACAGCUCCAGGAGUUAACAUAUUUGAAUGGUGGUUCAGAAAAUGCAGAUGUUCCAGUGGUUCGAGGGAAACCCACCUUGCGUACAAGAGGUGUACCAGCCCCAGCAAUAACAAGGGGAAGGGGAGGAGUUACAGCCCGGCCAGUUGGAGUUGUAGUACCACGAGGGACGCCAACUCCCAGAGGAGUCCUGUCCACCCGAGGGCCAGUGAGUCGGGGAAGAGGACUUCUCACUCCCAGAGCAAGAGGAGUCCCCCCAACUGGGUACAGACCUCCACCGCCACCCCCGACACAAGAGACUUAUGGAGAAUAUGACUAUGAUGAUGGAUAUGGCACUGCUUAUGAUGAACAGAGUUAUGAUUCCUAUGAUAACAGCUAUAGCACCCCAGCCCAAAGUGGUGCUGAUUACUAUGAUUACGGACAUGGACUCAGUGAGGAGACUUAUGAUUCCUACGGGCAAGAAGAGUGGACUAACUCAAGACACAAGGCACCUUCAGCGAGGACAGCAAAGGGCGUCUACAGAGACCAGCCAUAUGGCAGAUACUGAUUGUACUGUCUGAUGUUGUGAAAUAGCCAAUCUCCACCAGUCCUGUAUACUGUUCAAAGAAAUGUCAGCCAUCUUGGAAUGUCACACGAACUGGUUGAACACCUGAAGCAAACAAAGGAACUUUCCUUCUAUUUAUGGACUGCUUAAGAAUAGUCAACUCACCAACGUGCCUAGUCAGUAAAUGAAUCCACUUGGGAACUUGAAAAACAUCUUAAUUAAUUUUUUGUUUGCAUAAUUUUGUGUUCUGUGACAUGUUUUUAUUAUAUGGUAUGCUUUUAAUUUGGAGAACCUACCUUUUUAAAAAACGGAAAGAAAAUCUAUCUUAUUUUGUUGUCUCCCAAUAACAAAAAGAGGACGAUUUGUAUAGUAGUUAAUAAAGGCUGCCUAUUGAAAUCUCUUCUACUUUAAACCUAGAAAAACAAA
Pongo pygmaeus (Bornean orangutan) is the source of this 1892-nucleotide RNA transcript. It is a transcript of the gene named KH RNA binding domain containing, signal transduction associated 3, with no coding region annotated. The transcript has 11 exons. The record is from RefSeq and is a predicted model, not a curated record. Lineage: Eukaryota; Metazoa; Chordata; Mammalia; Primates; Hominidae.